RNAcentral lists this ribosomal RNA (464 nucleotides) under Vreelandella stevensii. RNAcentral describes it as "partial 16S ribosomal RNA". It matches the Rfam family "Bacterial small subunit ribosomal RNA", at positions 338 to 795 of the family's 1533-position model. The record is from RNAcentral. Lineage: Bacteria; Pseudomonadati; Pseudomonadota; Gammaproteobacteria; Oceanospirillales; Halomonadaceae.
CCUAGGGUGGCUGCAGUGGGGAAUAUUGGACAAUGGGGGCAACCCUGAUCCAGCCAUGCCGCGUGUGUGAAGAAGGCCCUCGGGUUGUAAAGCACUUUCAGUGAGGAAGAACGCCUGGUGGUUAAUACCCAUCAGGAAAGACAUCACUCACAGAAGAAGCACCGGCUAACUCCGUGCCAGCAGCCGCGGUAAUACGGAGGGUGCGAGCGUUAAUCGGAAUUACUGGGCGUAAAGCGCGCGUAGGUGGCUUGAUAAGCCGGUUGUGAAAGCCCCGGGCUCAACCUGGGAACGGCAUCCGGAACUGUCAAGCUAGAGUGCAGGAGAGGAAGGUAGAAUUCCCGGUGUAGCGGUGAAAUGCGUAGAGAUCGGGAGGAAUACCAGUGGCGAAGGCGGCCUUCUGGACUGACACUGACACUGAGGUGCGAAAGCGUGGGUAGCAAACAGGAUUAGAUACCCUUGUAGUC